Long non-coding RNA from Equus caballus (horse), 2500 nucleotides. NCBI's taxonomy places the organism in Eukaryota, Metazoa, Chordata, Mammalia, Perissodactyla, Equidae. The record is from Ensembl.
CAACAAAAAACCACUGGUCGUGACGCUCAGAGAUCACUCGCAAUAGUCAGGAGUUAACAGAAAGUGUGUGCACCCAAAUUGUCUACCAUCCUUCUAUAAAAACUGGCUGCUUUUAAAGGUUUGUCUAUUAAAAUGCUAUCAUGUUUUGCUUUGUUUGGUUUCCUUUUAAAGACAGUUGUUUAGGUGAUGUGUGAGGGAUUAAAAAGCCACCCCUGAGAUAAAGCUGACCUGCUUGCAGGAAAGCCACGAUGGAAGGCGGAAGUAUAGAUGAUGGAGGAUUUACGGAGAAUGCGCAGACACAGAUGUGACGUGGAGGGGAGGGCGACUCAGGCCCUUCCUCGCAAAGACUCAUCUAACUGUCGGGGCAACUGUGGGUGCUGCCAUGUCGGAUGAGACGACUGGGGAGUGAGAGGCAGGAAAGCAGCCGAAAGGCCGGGGGGCAGUGUUCUCCAAGGCCUCUCAGAAAAGACAGGAGAGCUUCUCUACACCCCGCUCUCCAGUGGGGAAGCCUGCUUACUUAUAACGGACCCAACAGUAAAUGCAGUCCCCACCACUCUUGGCCAUUGUCAGAAGGGAUAGGUCUGAGGGUCCGGGCAAGAGCAGACCGACGGCCUGGAGAGAGCUUUUGGCUUGGUCCUCUGAAUAGGCUAGUGGUGAUUUGAAGAUGCAGAAGUACUUGGCAAGUUAAUGUGAUGAAAACAACAUAAAACAUGGAUUCCCUCUCCUUCAACUAUGGACCAGUAAGGCAAUUCCUCGGUAAUAACUCAACACACACUUUACCAAAAGUGAUUUUCCAUCUGAGACCUUGCAGAAAGGUGCUCAUUUAUGUUCUUGGCUACCCUUUACCUCAAUGAGAAUGAAAAAAUAUGAACUGUGACCAUAUAUGUAAGACAUAGUCCCAAAUCCAGAUGGCUUGCUUCACUAACUCCACUGUGAUGGCAAAAGUUAACAGUCUUCAUGGUCUGGAGCAAGACCUGUUGGCAGUCAUUUUCUCCUUCUUGGUAACAGCUCCUGGCAAAUCCUGGUGGUAACAUGCCUUCUGACUGUCAAGCUGGGGAUUUCCUUUCUGAUCGUUCCAUGUGGAGGAACAUUUUAUACACUUACAAAGUUCUUCCUGCGCACAUGGUUGGACUCUGCAGCUGAGCCACCACAUCAUCUGGUCCAUAGGGCUCCAUCUGCAGAGAAUGUCAUCCAAUUGGGCAAGAAGUCUUCUGUCCUAGGACUUCUCUGAUUGGAGCUUGAGGUCACCUGGCUGAAGCUGGUACCAUGAUGGACCUGCCUGGUGGCAGCUGGAGCCAGGAAGGGGAUGUAACUGCUAUGGGACAUGCCACUCGAGACAGAGAGGUGAAGGAGAAAUUUCCUGGACUUUCCUUUCAUCUGGGGAGCUCCAGGCUCCUUUUAAUAUCUUUAAUAUGCUCACGCCAGCCAGAAACGCAGUCUGUAGGAAUCCCUCCCAGCCGUACGGGGCAGACCAAGGUAACUGCAAGCAAUGGAUCUGAGGACAAAUUGGCCCAGGACUGGCACACCUUCCCUUUGGAUAAAAUGAUAAAUCUGAUGGUUUUCUUUGUCUCCUUUCUCAUCAUCUCCAAGAGUUUUUUUUGGAUGAUCUCCAGAAUUAGAUUUGUUAUUUUGUAAGUCUUUUUUCUUUAUAGAAUUUUUUUGGAAACUUUUGUUUUAUAACUCUUCUAAGAGGAAUUUUAAACCCAACGUAAAGUUUCAUUAAUUGUAUUACUCACCACCAAUGUUCAUACCACUUCCUUGCUAUUCUCAAGCACUUUUAUUACAGUUCUGAUCUUUUUCUUUUCUCUCUUACAAAUGAUCCCUUAAGUAGGUGUCACAUUCUUAAGACAGUGCUUUAUUCUUUCCUAGCAUUUUGUUUUUUUUGUAAGGAAGAGAAAUCCAAUGACAAACAGAUUCUUUUCUUUUAAGGGCCACUUUUUCCGCUUGGAAGUGUGUAGAUUUUUAUCUUUAUAUUUGGUAUUGAAAUUCAAAACAAGCAAAAGGAAAACUUUAACCCGUCACUUGAAGAACUUUUUUGAUAUGAGGCUUCAAUUCUGUCUUCAGUUUAGGGAUUUUUUUUCUGUUUUGAUUACUGCUUCUCCUUGAUCUGCACUCCUUUUGUACCUAUAUUAGAUAUCCUGUUCAUUCGCAUAUUCCCAAUCACAGAGGAAUUAACAAUUACCUUCAUCUGGACUUGCAUGAAACAUUUUUAACAGAAAGUUCCCAAAAUUUCUGGUGUGUAUAUGGCUUCAUUUGCUUGUUUCCAGGAUUUAUACAGACUUUUUCUAAAUAUUUCUGUGUUUGUCAUUUCCGUGGGAACCUGGAAGAGGAGAGAAUUAACCAUUAGCACUCAAAUCACCGUUAGAAACAAGAAGCGCGUCUUAAUAAAAUUUAGACAUUACUAAACAUACCAUUCUCUCCAAAUACUACAAGAGCACAUGGCUAUUUGAGCAAAUGAGGCACUGUCCUCUCCCUAAGGAGUUUCUAAGUGGUAGAAGAU